Molecule: long non-coding RNA, 257 nt
Filed under: Homo sapiens (human)
Lineage: Eukaryota; Metazoa; Chordata; Mammalia; Primates; Hominidae
Description: non-protein coding lnc-CCKAR-15:1
Source: RNAcentral
AGAAUCUCGAAGUGGGUAUCAGAAGAAGAGAAGAUGUGAGGGACAAAAGGAUAGGAUCUACAGUGCUGUUACAUCCUCACUGGCAUCAACAAUUUAGACUCAUCUCUAUAUCCAUGUGUAACUUGUUACAGUCUGCAGUCAUAAGCUGGCCUCAACACACUGAAGUAUAUUCAGCAUUAUAAACACACUGAAACACCAAAAAGGCUGAGAUGCACAUAAUUUGAAGAGUGAAAAUGGCUCGAGAGCAUGAAGUCUCA